GGGAUUGUGGCUCAGUGGUAGAGUGAGUGCCUAGCAUGCAUGAGGCACUGGGUUUGAUUCUCAGCAUCACA
This 71-nucleotide transfer RNA is filed under the name Marmota monax (woodchuck). RNAcentral's name for it is "tRNA.Ala". The stretch from base 6 to 66 matches the Rfam family "tRNA", at positions 6 to 65 of the family's 71-position model. Rfam says of the family: Transfer RNA (tRNA) molecules are approximately 80 nucleotides in length. Their secondary structure includes four short double-helical elements and three loops (D, anti-codon, and T loops). Further hydrogen bonds mediate the characteristic L-shaped molecular structure. tRNAs have two regions of fundamental functional importance: the anti-codon, which is responsible for specific mRNA codon recognition, and the 3' end, to which the tRNAs corresponding amino acid is attached (by aminoacyl-tRNA synthetases). tRNAs cope with the degeneracy of the genetic code in two manners: having more than one tRNA (with a specific anti-codon) for a particular amino acid; and 'wobble' base-pairing, i.e. permitting non-standard base-pairing at the 3rd anti-codon position. Lineage: Eukaryota; Metazoa; Chordata; Mammalia; Rodentia; Sciuridae. The record is from RNAcentral.